CUCCAACCAUCUGCUCCAGUUUCCAGUGUGACAAUUGGGCUAUGAAUUUACCCUAAGAUAGUUAAUUUUACAUUUCCUGUGUCAUUAGCUUCAUCCAUCUUAUGGACGAUAAGACUUGGUGACCAAACACAAACUGUUUUUUCUCCCAACUGUUGCACCAUAGUUCUCGUUCAUGUCAAAAUUUUCCGGGGUAAUGCCAUCCGGAAGUUUCCAGUCGAAGUGAUAGAGGAGUCGAGCUAAAAUCAGCUCGAGACUGGCUACGACAAAUGAAAUUCCCGGACAAAUCCUCCUGCCAGAACCAAAUGGUAUUAACUCAAAGUCAUUUCCUUUGUAGUUAAUCGAAACUUUGCUAAAUCUUUCAGGUUCAAAAUGUUGGAAUAAUUAAUAAUUUCAUAUGUGGGCUUCACAUUCGAUUGUAAAAUUUUACGGGUUAGAUAUAUGGCUCAUAAUGAUAUUUGUGUUUGGGCCAAAUUUAUUAAUUGAUCAAUUGGGCUUUUUACACCUUACGGGUUGUAAUUAAUUUGAUGUGGUAAUUUAAAGUAUGUGGGUCGGAAAUAAACCCUAAUUAGAAUUCUAGUCGUAAUGGGAUGACUCGAAUUAUUUCCUAUAUAUAAAGGUUAGGUCCCCCCUCCUCUCCAUAUGUUUUUCAUUAGCUUGCCCCAUUGAUAGCUUUUACUUUGUGAGGAGCAAGGAGGGGAAGAUCUUGACCGCUAUUAUAACUAUUAUUCAUGUCAACAAUGGCUUCCGCAGGUAUGAAUUUGAUUUAUUAAUUUAUUAUUUGAUGAUUCUCGAUUCUUAGCAUGAUUAUAAAUUAAAUUCAACAAUUGGUAUCAGAAUCUAAUGCUAAGAUCAGAAUCCGUCAUUAAAAUAAUAUUCUCUCUCUGAGUGAAUAAUUCUAAAUCCGCUACCCGUCAAUUCAAGUUUUUGGAAUUGUUAAGUUUUCAAAAAAAAAAAAAAAUUGAAAUUGAUUUCACGUGUUCUGUGCAUAUACGUGUUCAUUCAUUGUAUAGAUAUAAGAAAAGAAAUCCAAAAUCACCCAUGGCUUUCCCCUAAUCAACAAAACCCACUUGCAAAAGCUGAAACUUGGUUUUCUCUCUGCCUCCCUCAAACAGCUGAACCGCCUCUUCUCUUCCCUUCAUUAUUUUUCUAAAUGGCACUGCAAGACCCACAAUUUUCUCACUUCUUCAAGGUCUCUCUCUGUAUGUGUUUGCAUGUCUAUAUAAUUUCCUUUUCAUUGAAAUUUUUGUUAUCCUGAAGAAGCCAAGAAUUCAGGUUUUUCUUUUUGCAGUUGAAUAUUAAUUGCCCAAUGUUUUACUAUCAAAAGGAAACCCAGUAGCCAUUCCAAUAUUCCCGCUUUGCUUUGUCUGCUUGAAUUUAUCAUUUACAAUUUAUUUUAGUUUUGAUUGCUUUUCCAAAAAUCUGCCCAACAUUAAAUGCAAAAUCUGCCCAAUGUUUAAAAAAAAAAAAAAAAAAUUUGGGACGAACACUGUUGCUGCGUUUCAGGCAGCAGCGCCGCCCAGAAUCGCCUCCGACUGCUGCUGUGGUAGCAGCGCCGGGUACUACCGGCGCCACAGAAAAAAAAAUUGCGUUAACAGGUCUAAGGGGAGACGGGGCUCCUGUUGUAAAUAUUCGAUUUUCAAGCCCCUGUUUACAAUUACAGAUUGAGGGUUAGGUUUUGUAAAUUAUAUAAGGAGGGCCUGUCAUAUAAUUUAUGCAAUUGAAGGACCUGAUUUUAAUUUAGGGUUAAAAUGUAAUUUUCAAUAAGGGGCUCUUAAUUUGAACUUAUAAAGUUCUGACCCUAAAUUUUAAUUUUGACACAGUUAAAAAUUUUUAUUUGAUAAUUGACUCAUUUGGAAUAUAUUAAAUAAUAAUAAUAGUUUAGUUGACGACUUUUUGUAUUAUUUCAUUAAAAUGAUUAUGUAUUUAAAUGUUGUCAUUUUUUUUAAUUUUUUUGUUUGCGUGUUUAAAUUUCAAUUUUUAUAAUAUUGAAAUAUUGAAUUUUGUUGCCAAUUUUGUCUCCAAAUCACAUAUAAAUUUUGUUUAUCGAUUAAUAAUUAUGAUUUAUUAUAUAAUUAUUAUUUUGUGAUUGAAUUCUCAUGGGCAUUGAAACUAUUCUUAUUUUCCCACUAUGAGAGAAAUAUUUUAAAAUAAAAAUGGGUGGUAGCUGCCAAAGUGGCACACUCAUUAUUAUUUAUUCAAUUUUCUCUACAAUAAAAAUACAUAUAUUUUUGACCAACAACUUUUGAUUUAUUGCAUAUAAUAUCUUGCCUAAAGGUGUUAUUAUAUGUAAUAUUUUUGGAAAAUGGCAUGAGAAAGUUAACGAACUUAUUUUGGUUUAGAAAUUUCCUUCUGCCCAAAGGUGUUGGUUAUUUCGAAAACUGAUGUAAUUUUGUUAACUAACUACGUGAUGUGUUUUAAGAGUACCUUAUAGCAUGUUGUAUUGUCAACCCAAAAGUGACUUUAUGAUGAUGCACCUAGGCUCUUACCGUAAUAAAAUUCAUAUGUUUCGAUUUAAAUUACGAAUUAUCUAAUUAAUUGCCCAUAUUAAUUAGUUGGAUAUUUCAUCAUCAUUUGAUUGCAUGCAUUAAGUUUGGAUGAUAUUAAGAGUGAUAUUUUAUGUUUCCACAGUUUAUAAUGCCUCAUCUCUUUCGAAUCAAUUGUCUGCUAUUGAAACAUUGACUGGGAAUAACUAUGUAAGAUGGAAACGAGACGUAGAAAUAGCACUUAGUCUUUUGGAUUUGGAUUUUGCAAUGGAGAAAAAGUUUGAAAAACCCACAGAUAAAAGUACCAUUGAAUAUAUAGCCGAGCAUGAAAAGUGGGAAAGGGCUAACAAACUGUGUUUGAAAAUCAUUAAGCGAUCGAUAUCUGAUUCCAUUCUAGGUGUCAUCCCUGAUAAUGAAAAUGCCAAAAGUUUUAUGGAUGCCAUAGGAGAAAAAUUUAUUGAGUCUGAUAAAGUCGAAACUGGGGAUCUGAUGGAUAAAUUGAUGAGCAUGAAAUAUGAAGGCACAAGUGGUGUUAGGGAACAUGUCAUGAAAAUGAUAAAUAUAUCAUCUAAGCUAAAAGCUCUUGACAUUCCCAUUGCGGAGCCUUUCCUGGUCUAUCAUGUUUUGAAUAGCCUUCCUAACAAGUUUAAUCAGUUUAAAGUUGCUUACAAUGCUUAGCGGUAUAAGUGGAAUUUGAAUGACCUCAUAGCAGUGUGUGCCCAAGAAGAGUAUAGGAUGCAUAGUGAAACUGUUGAAACUGUGCAAUUAACUUUUCAGCCAUCACAGAAUAAGGGGCCUUCUCAUAAUCAUAAACCUAAGUUUCGUAAGGGUAAUAAGUCUUACCGAAGUCAACAGAAUAAAAAUUUUAGUGGUCCUAAAGCAGUUAUAAAGAAAAAUGAUCAAUGCAAGUUCUGUAAAAAGAAGGGUCACUGGCAGAAAGACUGUUUUAAGUUCAAGACUUGGUUGGAAAAGAAGAAGAGUUCUUCAGGUAUUCCCUUGGCCUUAGUUUGUUUUGAGUCUUCUUUAGUAGAUGUACCUUUGAAUUCUUGGUGGUUAGACUCGGGAGCUAGUUUUCAUAUUGCGAAUUCCUUGCAGGGGUUCAUAAGCAAACGGAGGCCAAGUGAGAAUGAAGUAAGCUUGAGUGUUGCAAAUGGAUUCCAAGUGAAUGUUGAAUUCAUAGGAGUAGUGAAGUUAACUUUGGAGUCUGAUUUUUAUCUUAUUUUGGAAAAUACAGUUUAUGUACUGCAGAUGAGACGGAAUUUAAUUUCUAUACCAAAACUUGAUACUUGUGGUCUUACAUUUAUUUUUGGUAAUGGAAUGAUUAAGUUAUUUAAUGAUUCUCAUUUGAUUGGAAAUGACAUUUUAUGUGAUGAUUUAUAUAAAUUAUCUUUGGCUUCUUUUGGUGAUGUCUAGUGUGUUACAAAUGUAUCAAAGAAAAGGGCUUUAAUUCGUGAAUCAUCCUCUAUGUUGUGGCAUAAGCGAUUGGGUCAUAUUUCUAAGGAUAGAAUGGAAAGAUUAGUAAAAGAUGAGAUCCUUCCUUAGACUUCUCCGAUUUUGACACCUGUAUAGAUUGUAUAAGAGGAAAGUUAACUGAGUCUAUGAGGAAGGGUUCGACUAGGAGUAAUGAAAUUUUGGACUUAAUUCACAUUGAUAUCAGUGGACAUUUGCUUUCUACUAUAUGUGGGAAUAAAUAUUUCAUAACUUUCAUUGAUGAUUUCUCACGAUAUGGAUAUGUUUAUUUGAUUAAUGACAAAUCACAUGCACUUGAGAAAUUCAAAGCUUUCAAACUGGAAGUAGAGAAACAAUGUGGGAAAAGUAUCAAAGUUGUAAGAUCUGAUCGAGGUGGUGAGUACUAUGGGAAAUAUGACGAGUCUGGUCAAAAUAUGGGUGAUUUUGCAAAAUUUUUACAAGAGUGUGGAAUAGUGCCCCCAAUACACCAUGCCAGGGACACCUGAGCAGAAUGGUGUUUCUGAAAGACGUAAUCAAACUCUAAAAGAUAUGGUUAGAAGUAUGAUAAGUAGAACAAAUUUGCUUGAAUAUUUGUGGGGUGAAGCCUUGAAAAUAGCUAUGUAUAUUUUGAACAGAGUUCCAAGUAAAGUUGUUACAAAGAUACCUUUUGAAUUAUGGACAGGACGUAAGCCAAGUAUGGCUCACUUUAAAGUUUGGGGAUGCCCAGCUGAGGUUAGGAUUUAUAAUCCAUUUGAAAAGAAAUUAGACCCUAAAUCAACUCCUGGCUACUUUAUUGGGUAUCCGGAUAGAUCAAAGGGAUAUAAGUUUUACUGUCCAAAUUGCGGCACUAGAAUUGUGGAGUCCAUUACUACUAAGUUUCUGGAGAACGAUUUUGGAGAUAGUGGGAGUUCCACAUUGAGAGAAAUUCUUGUUGAACCUAAUCAAGUUGUAGUUCCAGUUCCUGUCAUACAGGAAAGAGUUGGUUCUCAACCAAUUGGAGUUGUUAAUGAAGAACCGAGGAACCAGGAGGAAUCUCCAAUUCCUCAAACAACGAUUGAAUCGGUUCUUGAGCCACAAGUUAGGAGAUCACAAAGGGAAAGAAGAUCUGCAUUGCCCAGUGAUUAUAUUGCAUAUUUAUUGGAGAGUGAUUUUAAUGUUGGGCAUAUUGUUGAUCCUGUAACUUAUAACCAAGCAUUGACAAGUCGUGAUGCAGAUAAUUGGAUAGCUGCCAUGGAAGAUGAAAUGAAUUCCAUGGAAAGGAAUAAAGUUUGGGAUCUUGUUGAACUUCCUCCAGAUGCUAAGGCUGUAGAUAACAAGUGGAUUUUCAAAAGUAAAUUAGAUUCAAAAGGAAAUGUUGAACGAAAGAAAGCAAGAUUAGUUGCAAAAGGUUUCACUCAACGAGAGGGCAUUGAUUAUGUUGAAACCUUCUUCCCUGUUUCGUCGAAAGAUUCUUUUCGAAUUAUCAUGGCUCUUGUGGCACACUACAAUUUGGAGUUUCAUCAAAUGUAUGUUAAGACAGCAUUUUUGAAUGGAGAUCUUUUUGAAAUGGUUUAUAUGAAACAACCUGAAAGUUUUGUUGUAAAAGGAAAAGAAAACUUAGUGUGUAAGUUAAACAAAUCCUUAUAUGGUCUCAAACAAGCAUCUCGACAGUGGUAUUUGAAAUUUGAUAAGGUUGUGACAUCUCUUGGUUUUGUCGAAAAUACUAUUGAUCAAUGCAUUUAUCUUAAAAUCAGUGGGAGAAAUUUUAUUUUCCUUGUACUAUAUGUUGAUGACAUUCUGCUUGCUAGCAGUAACUUAGGGUUGCUUCAUGAGACAAAGAAAAUGUUGUCUGCUAAUUUUGAGAUGAAAGAUCUUGGAGUAGCUUCCUAUGUACUUGGCAUUGAAAUAUAUCGUGAUAGAAAUCGUGACUUAUUGGGACUUUCUCAGAAAGCUUAUAUACGACGUGUUCUAGAAAGGUUUAAUAUGCAAAAUUGUGCACCUGGUGAUGUACCUAUCGUAAAAGGAGAUAAGUUUAAUAAAACUCUAUGUCCAAGGAAUGAGCUGGAAAGGGAGUCUAUGAAGAUGAUCCCAUAUGCUAGUGCUGUGGGAAGCUUGAUGUAUGUUCAAGUUUGCACUAGAUCGGAUAUAGUCUAUGCAGUAAGUGUCCUUAGCAGAUUUCAGUCUAAUCAAGGACAACAGCAUUGGAAAGCAGCUAAGAAAGUUAUGAGAUAUUUGAAGAAAACUGAAAGUUAUAUGCUUACAUUCCAGUGUACAAAUCAUCUUGAGGUGGUAGGAUAUUCAGAUUCUGAUUUUGUUGGAUGUCAAGAUGAUUUGAAAUCAACUUCAGGUUAUAUUUUUACAUUAGCUGGCGGUGCCAUUUCUUGGAAAAGUAUUAAACAGACUUUAGUGGCAUCUUCUACUAUGCAGGCUGAAUUUGUGGCAUGUUAUGGGGCUACAGUUCAAGCCGUUUGGUUAAGAAAUUUCAUCUCUGGCUUGAAAGUUGUUGAUUCCAUCUCAAAACCGAUCAAAGAAUAAUAAUAGUUCUGGUGGAUCAAAACAUAUUGACAUCAAAUAUUUGGUUGUUAGAGACAGAGUCAAAGAAGGGCAGACGAAAAUAGAGCAUAUCAAUACAGAGGCGAUGGUUGCAGAUCCCUUGACUAAGAGACUCACUCCAAAUGUCUUUAAGACACAUGUUACUAAUAUGUGUAUUGUGGAAACAUUUGAUAUUUUUGGUUAGUGGGAAUUAUUUAUGUAAAGAACUACGUUUUGGGCUUGAUCCCUUUACGGGGUACGUAGGCAGCCCAUAUGUUUUCGGGUACAGCCCCUUCUGAUAAUAAAAUAAUUUUUCCCAUAUCCAUGAAUUAUUUUUAAGCAUGCAUUUGACUUAUAUCUUUUUAUAUUAUUGGCAUCUUGAAAUAUGACGUAUAAAGACAUAAGACGAGUCUCUUUUAGAGACAUGUGGCUUCAUUUUGAUUCGAAGCAUUAUGAGGAUCGAUAUGAGUUAGCACAAUUUUUGAUCACAUUUGGUGCUAAAUUCAUACCACAUACUACCACAUUAGUUGGAGGAUGGGGAUCUAUGUCGAUAAGGAUGUUGACAUUUGUAGCUGUGGAAUGAUCUUACAUCUCUUAAAUUGGUGUAAUGACUUCUAUAUUCGGUGUUAAUAUUCUUGUUGGACCGGAUCAUGUUACGUAAGGUGUCAUCAUUGGAGCUAUACUUUUGUGGCCACUUAUGUAGUCUAACCCGGGUGUUAAAACUUUGUUAUGGCAAUCAAAUGUUUGUUCAAGUGGGAGAAUGUUGGAAUAAUUAAUAAUUCCAUAUGUGGGCUUCACAUUCGAUUGCAAAAUUUUACGGGUUAGAUACAUGGCUCAUAAUGAUAUUUGUGUUUGGGCCAAAUUUAUUAAUUGGUCAAUUGGGCCUUUUACACCCUACGGGUUGUAAUUAAUUUGAUGUGGUAAUUUAAAGUUUGUGGGUCGGAAAUAAACCCUAAUUAGAAUUCUAGUCGUAAUGGGACGGCUCAAAUUAUUUCCUAUAUAUAAAGGCUAGGUCCCUUCCCCUCUCUAUAUGUUUUUCAUUAGCUUGCCCCAUUAAUAGCUAUUAUUUUGUGAGGAGCAAGGAGGGGAAGAUUUUGACCGCUAUUAUAACUAUUAUUCAUAUCAACAAUGGCUUCCGCAGGUAUGAAUUUGGUUUAUUAAUUUAUUAUUUGGUGAUUCUCGAUUCUUAGCAUGAUUAUAAAUUAAAUUCAACACAAAAGUCUCAGGAUCAUGCCAAUACUCGAGAUUUCUUCCAAUGGCCCAAACAUUUAUGAGGCCUGUGGUUUCAUUAGGUAUAUCAUAUCCAUCAAUCUUGCAUUCUUCCCUGAAUUUUCUAGGGCCCAACAAUGGAAGAG
Molecule: long non-coding RNA, 7798 nt
Filed under: Olea europaea subsp. europaea
Lineage: Eukaryota; Viridiplantae; Streptophyta; Magnoliopsida; Lamiales; Oleaceae
Source: RNAcentral